RNAcentral lists this long non-coding RNA (595 nucleotides) under Felis catus (domestic cat). RNAcentral's name for it is "lncRNA (ENSFCAG00000050712.1)". Lineage: Eukaryota; Metazoa; Chordata; Mammalia; Carnivora; Felidae. The record is from RNAcentral.
ACGGUGUGGAUGACCACCUCCACCAGGGGCUCCUUGAUGGCCGUGUCUUUGAUGCGAGCAUGUGAAAGCCGUAUACGUCCUUCCACCGGUGGGUCUUGUAGUCUUUGUGCUGUCGAUCUUCGGUGGUCGUCACGUACAGUGUGGCUCGGUGCGGGAAGAUGAGAACAUCAGAUGCCAGCCACUUGUCCCUGUGCCCGAGCCCACGUCCAGCACCACCUCGUCCUUGAAGAGAUGUCGGUUGCGAAACAUGGAGUGUGGAGCCAGUUUUAUCCCCAAGAAGUGUCUCAAGGUCCCUGAUGGAGGUAUUUUGGAAUGGGGCACGGAAGGCCACAGAAAAGCGUUCUGGAACAAGGGGAACAAGGCAAUGGCCAUCACCAAAAUUGAGCAGCAGUGUUUUGGUAGGACAUGAAAUUAACACUGAUCCCCUACAUCUGCCAUGAGCUGGGUGAGAUUUGGGUAAGUCGCUAAGUUAUUGGCUUUGUCAGUUUCCUCUUACAGUUCCAGCCUUAGAAUGGGGCAUGGGGUGUGUUUUUUUGUUUUUGUUUUAAAGUUGAUUUAUUUAUUUUUGAGACAGCCAGAGAUGGUGCAAGUGGGG